RNAcentral lists this transfer RNA (77 nucleotides) under Acidobacteriota bacterium. RNAcentral describes it as "tRNA-Arg". It matches the Rfam family "tRNA". From Rfam's summary of the family: Transfer RNA (tRNA) molecules are approximately 80 nucleotides in length. Their secondary structure includes four short double-helical elements and three loops (D, anti-codon, and T loops). Further hydrogen bonds mediate the characteristic L-shaped molecular structure. tRNAs have two regions of fundamental functional importance: the anti-codon, which is responsible for specific mRNA codon recognition, and the 3' end, to which the tRNAs corresponding amino acid is attached (by aminoacyl-tRNA synthetases). tRNAs cope with the degeneracy of the genetic code in two manners: having more than one tRNA (with a specific anti-codon) for a particular amino acid; and 'wobble' base-pairing, i.e. permitting non-standard base-pairing at the 3rd anti-codon position. The record is from RNAcentral. Lineage: Bacteria; Pseudomonadati; Acidobacteriota. RNAcentral also lists the same sequence under 1 other name.
GCGCCCGUAGCUCAGGCGGAUAGAGCGACUGGCUUCGAACCAGUAGGUCGGGAGUUCGAAUCUCUCCGGGCGCGCCA